CUAGUUGCCAUCAUUACUGGUCGGCACUGUAAGAGACUGCCGGUGUCAAACCGGAGGAAGGUGGGGAUGACGUCAAGUCCUCAUGGCCCUUUAUGACCAGGGCUACACACGUACUACAAUGGCCGGUACAAAGGGCAGCCACUUAGCGAUAAGGAGCCAAUCCCGUAAAGCCGGUCUCAGUCCGGAUUGGAGUCUGCAACUCGACUCCAUGAAGUUGGAAUCGCUAGUAAUCGCAGAUCAGCACGCUGCGGUGAAUACGUUCCCGGGCCUU
RNAcentral lists this ribosomal RNA (271 nucleotides) under uncultured Desulfocapsa sp. Its description in RNAcentral is "partial 16S ribosomal RNA". It matches the Rfam family "Bacterial small subunit ribosomal RNA", at positions 1111 to 1382 of the family's 1533-position model. The record is from RNAcentral. Lineage: Bacteria; Pseudomonadati; Thermodesulfobacteriota; Desulfobulbia; Desulfobulbales; Desulfocapsaceae.